This 785-nucleotide ribosomal RNA is filed under the name uncultured bacterium. RNAcentral's name for it is "bacterial SSU rRNA". It matches the Rfam family "Bacterial small subunit ribosomal RNA", at positions 79 to 859 of the family's 1533-position model. The record is from RNAcentral.
CUUGCUUCUCUUGAGAGCGGCGGACGGGUGAGUAAUGCCUAGGAAUCUGCCUGGUAGUGGGGGAUAACGUCCGGAAACGGACGCUAAUACCGCAUACGUCCUACGGGAGAAAGCAGGGGACCUUCGGGCCUUGCGCUAUCAGAUGAGCCUAGGUCGGAUUAGCUAGUUGGUGGGGUAAUGGCUCACCAAGGCGACGAUCCGUAACUGGUCUGAGAGGAUGAUCAGUCACACUGGAACUGAGACACGGUCCAGACUCCUACGGGAGGCAGCAGUGGGGAAUAUUGGACAAUGGGCGAAAGCCUGAUCCAGCCAUGCCGCGUGUGUGAAGAAGGUCUUCGGAUUGUAAAGCACUUUAAGUUGGGAGGAAGGGCAGUAAAUUAAUACUUUGCUGUUUUGACGUUACCGACAGAAUAAGCACCGGCUAACUCUGUGCCAGCAGCCGCGGUAAUACAGAGGGUGCAAGCGUUAAUCGGAAUUACUGGGCGUAAAGCGCGCGUAGGUGGUUCGUUAAGUUGGAUGUGAAAUCCCCGGGCUCAACCUGGGAACUGCAUUCAAAACUGACGAGCUAGAGUAUGGUAGAGGGUGGUGGAAUUUCCUGUGUAGCGGUGAAAUGCGUAGAUAUAGGAAGGAACACCAGUGGCGAAGCGACCACCUGGACUGAUACUGACACUGAGGUGCGAAAGCGUGGGGAGCAAACAGGAUUAGAUACCCUGGGUAGUCCACGCCGUAACGAUGUCAACUAGCCGUUUGGGAGCCUUGAGCUCUUAGUGGCCGCAGCUAACGCA